Anopheles funestus (African malaria mosquito) is the source of this 78-nucleotide non-coding RNA. The record is from Rfam. Lineage: Eukaryota; Metazoa; Arthropoda; Insecta; Diptera; Culicidae.
UUUGCAUGAUGAUAAAAUUUCUUCAACUGAACAUUACUUGAAGAAUAUUUUACGUUGACAUUUUUUAAUCUGACGACA